UAUGGCUGUCGUCAGCUCGUGUUGUGAAAUGUUGGGUUAAGUCCCGCAACGAGCGCAACCCUUAUCCUUUGUUGCCAGCGGUUAGGCCGGGAACUCAAAGGAGACUGCCAGUGAUAAACUGGAGGAAGGUGGGGAUGACGUCAAGUCAUCAUGGCCCUUACGAGUAGGGCUACACACGUGCUACAAUGGCGCAUACAAAGAGAAGCGACCUCGCGAGAGCAAGCGGACCUCAUAAAGUGCGUCGUAGUCCGGAUUGGAGUCUGCAACUCGACUCCAUGAAGUCGGAAUCGCUAGUAAUCGUAGAUCAGAAUGCUACGGUGAAUACGUUCCCGGGCCUUGUACACACCGCCCGUA
RNAcentral lists this ribosomal RNA (354 nucleotides) under uncultured soil bacterium. RNAcentral's name for it is "bacterial SSU rRNA". It matches the Rfam family "Bacterial small subunit ribosomal RNA", at positions 1044 to 1398 of the family's 1533-position model. The record is from RNAcentral.